This is an RNA transcript of Brassica oleracea var. oleracea, 2183 nucleotides long. It is a transcript of the gene named E3 ubiquitin-protein ligase RLIM, with no coding region annotated. NCBI's taxonomy places the organism in Eukaryota, Viridiplantae, Streptophyta, Magnoliopsida, Brassicales, Brassicaceae. The record is from RefSeq and is a predicted model, not a curated record. The transcript is spliced from 9 exons.
UGCGAGGUCCAAUCGUUUCCAGCGGAUAGCAAAGAGGCGGAGAUAGAUUAAUCUUCGAUGCUUUUGCUUCCCCCAUCGGCAAAUUAGGGUUUCGAGUCGCUCUUCCGAAUCGGAUUCAAUCGGGAUGGAGAACACUGACAUUGACAUGGUAAUCAGCAUACCUGACACACCUGACAGACCUGUAAGACGUGAGACUAACAAAAGACAGCGUUCUCCAGAAGCACAGGCUAGAUUCCAAAGAGGAGAGCACCGUCAUUAUUACCCCAACGGCAGAGCUAGAACAGUCUCUGAAGCUUCUGAUACACAAGCUGAGCACGGACAUGGACAUCGCUCUCGUGCUUCUGGAAGCAAUGCUUUGUUUAGGAGAAGCGCUGUUGAGAAGGAUAAAGGGAAAUCCAUCUGCAUUGAUCCUUCCCCGGCUCGGGCUGAGAAAGAUCCGGUUGUUAAUGCUCUGUUUACAACUGAAGGUGUAGGAGAAUCACGGGCAAGUAGUGAUGGUUCUUCUCCUAAUAAGGGUAAAGGGAUAGUAGUAGAGUGUGGCUCUGUUUCUAGUGAGAGAAAACCUGUUAGAGGCACUAGAAGGCUGGUGAGAAACGGGUGCAUAUCUCCACAUGCAAUAGCAGCUAGAACUAGACAAGCUGCUGCUGAUGAUACCAAUUCUAAGGAUAGAGUUAGUCUUGAACAGGAGUUAGCUCUUGAAGCUGCGUCUUCGAUUGACAUUAGGGAGAUUGUUUCUGAUAAUCAUACUCGUGGAAAAGCUAGAGGAAAAAGACCAGAGAUUCCCCCAAGCAGGGUGGCUAGUAGAGAGGCCUCGGAGGGAUGGUUUAGUACGCGCAGCAGGAGUUUAAAUACCGACCAUGAAGUGAAUCGGAGGGAUGAGAGUGACACACGUGGAGCUGGUAGUUUCGUUUCAGGACUUGAUGUUCUGGAAACCGGUGCAGUUGACAGAGAACCUAGACCACAACGGCGACGGAAAAAUGGAGUUACUCCUUCGAGGUAUGAGCCACAGGCUUCUGUCAUUGGAUCUUCUGGGGAACCAUCUAGCUCAAGGCCGCGCCAUUAUCAAAGACAAGGCAGACAAGUGUUGGAAAUUGAAGAUUCAUCUCCUGAAGUAAGGGUCUCCCGAGCUCCUAGACGUGUUGAAAACGAUGAAUCUGAUGACGUGAAAGCAAGACAGAUCGAAGCUGAUGCGCUGAUGGCUCGUGAGCUGCAAGAACAGAUGUACGCAGAAUCGACAAUUAGAAACGAGCAGAUGGACGAAACCAUAGCCAGGUUGAUGGAACAAGAAGAGAAUCCUCUCCGUUCUUCUUCUAGCCGUGCUUCUACUCGUAACACCAGAAGCUCUAAUACCAUUGCAGCAGAUCCAAGUGGGAGUAGUCGCGUGGAAGAACGACCGCAGCAACAUUCUUCUAGGAGGCGAAUGAAUCCUCCACAGGCUCGUGCUGCUGUUAGAGCACCACGACGGGCUAGAGCUCCGCAUUUAGGCCGUGCACAUGCAGCACGACACGGAGCUAUGCAUUUCAAUUUUCCAAGCGGCAUGGACGUUGAGUUGAGAAUGGACUUUCUGGAGAAUCUGGAGAAUGUUAUUGGACACAGCUUCAACCACAGCAAUCUUCUUCACAUGGAUCGUGACUUUACUGAGUAUGAGAUGAUUACGAGUUGCUCCUAGCUCUUGAUGAAAACAACCAUCAACAUGGGGGUGCUUCUACUAGUCGCAUUAACAACUUGCCAGAGUCCACAGUUCAGACCGAUAAUUUUCAAGAAACAUGCGCUAUUUGUCUGGAGACGCCGACGAUUGGAGACACCAUCCGUCAUCUUCCUUGUUUCCACAAAUUCCACAAAGAUUGCAUUGAUCCAUGGCUUGGACGGAGUAAAGCAUGCCCGGUUUGCAAAUCCUCCGUCACUUAAACAAGGAGGAUGUUUUCUAAAAUUACCAUCGUACCCUUUCGACCGGGUGAUUUUGAUUCUGGGAUCAUUCUCUCUGGAAUCAUGUUGCUGAUAAAAGCAAACAUUCAUCGUUGAGUUUGAAACACACAUUAAACUGGCAACUGGGGUUUUACUACCGUUUACACCCGAGAAAGUGAUUAGUUUGUUGUGUUUUAAUACUCUAGCUAAGAGCUGUUCUGUAGAUUAAGCAGUUGAUUAUCGUACUAUUGAUUAAAGAUUAAUCCUGUUCAGACUUA